AGUGAACGCUGGCGGUAGGCCUAACACAUGCAAGUCGAACGGCAGCACAGUAAGAGCUUGCUCUUACGGGUGGCGAGUGGCGGACGGGUGAGGAAUAAAUCGGAAUCUACUUUUUCGUGGGGGAUAACGUAGGGAAACUUACGCUAAUACCGCAUACGACCUACGGGUGAAAGCAGGGGAUCUUCGUACCUUGCGCGAUUGACUGAGCCGAUGUCGGAUUAGCUAGUUGGCGGGGUAAAGGCCCACCAAGGCGACGAUCCGUAGCUGGUCUGAGAGGAUGAUCAGCCACACUGGAACUGAGACACGGACCAGACGCCUACGAGAGGCAGCAGUGGGGAAUAUUGGACAAUGGGCGCAAGCCUGAUCCAGCCAUACCGCGUGGGUGAAGGAGGCCUUCGGGGUGUAAAGCCCUUUUGUUGGGAAAGAAAAGCAGCAGGUUAAGACCCCGCUGUUCUGACGGUACCCAAAGAAUAAGCACCGGCUAACUUCGUG
RNAcentral lists this ribosomal RNA (492 nucleotides) under uncultured bacterium. Its description in RNAcentral is "partial 16S ribosomal RNA". It matches the Rfam family "Bacterial small subunit ribosomal RNA", at positions 29 to 507 of the family's 1533-position model. The record is from RNAcentral.